This 497-nucleotide ribosomal RNA is filed under the name uncultured bacterium. RNAcentral's name for it is "partial 16S ribosomal RNA". It matches the Rfam family "Bacterial small subunit ribosomal RNA", at positions 28 to 507 of the family's 1533-position model. The record is from RNAcentral.
GAUGAACGCUGGCGGCGUGCCUAAUACAUGCAAGUCGAGCGAACAGACGAGGAGCUUGCUCCUCUGACGUUAGCGGCGGACGGGUGAGUAACACGUGGAUAACCUACCUAUAAGACUGGGAUAACUUCGGGAAACCGGAGCUAAUACCGGAUAAUAUAUUGAACCUCAUGGUUCAAUAGUGAAAGACGGUUUUGCUGUCACUUAUAGAUGGAUCCGCGCCGCAUUAGCUAGUUGGUAAGGUAACGGCUUACCAAGGCAACGAUGCGUAGCCGACCUGAGAGGGUGAUCGGCCACACUGGAACUGAGACACGGUCCAGACUCCUACGGGAGGCAGCAGUAGGGAAUCUUCCGCAAUGGGCGAAAGCUUGACGGAGCAACGCCGCGUGAGUGAUGGAGGUCUUCGGAUCGUAAAACUCUGUUAUUAGGGAAGAACAAAUGUGGAAGUAACUAUGCACGUCUUGACGGUACCUAAUCAGAAAGCCACGGCUAACUACGUG